GACGAACGCUGGCGGCGUGCCUAAUACAUGCAAGUAGAACGCUGAAGGAGGAGCUUGCUCUUCUGGAUGAGUUGCGAACGGGUGAGUAACGCGUAGGUAACCUGCCUGGUAGCGGGGGAUAACUUUUGGAAACGAUAGCUAAUACCGCAUAAGAGUAGAUGUUGCAUGACAUUUGCUUAAAAGGUGCAAUUGCAUCACUACCAGAUGGACCUGCGUUGUAUUAGCUAGUUGGUGUGGUAACGGCUCACCAAGGCGACGAUACAUAGCCGAACUGAGAGGGGGAUCGGCCACACUGGGACUGAGACACGGCCCAGAGUGCUACGGGAGGCAGCAGUAGGGAAUCUUCGGCAAUGGACGGAAGUCUGACCGAGCAACGCCGAGUGAGUGAAGAAGGUUUUCGGGUCGUAAAGCUCUGUUGUAAGGGAAGAACGAGUGUGAGAGUGGAAAGUUCACACUGUGACGGUAUCUUAUCAGAAAGGGACGGCUAACUACGUG
Molecule: ribosomal RNA, 495 nt
Filed under: uncultured bacterium
Lineage: Bacteria
Description: partial 16S ribosomal RNA
Rfam family: Bacterial small subunit ribosomal RNA
Source: RNAcentral